RNAcentral lists this ribosomal RNA (253 nucleotides) under uncultured bacterium. RNAcentral's name for it is "partial 16S ribosomal RNA". It matches the Rfam family "Bacterial small subunit ribosomal RNA", at positions 524 to 776 of the family's 1533-position model. The record is from RNAcentral.
UACGGAGGGGGUUAGCGUUGUUCGGAAUUACUGGGCGUAAAGCGCGCGUAGGCGGACCAGAAAGUUGGGGGUGAAAUCCCGGGGCUCAACCCCGGAACGGCCUCCAAAACUCCUGGUCUUGAGUUCGAGAGAGGUGAGUGGAAUUCCGAGUGUAGAGGUGAAGUUCGUAGAUAUUCGGAGGAACACCAGUGGCGAAGGCGGCUCACUGGCUCGAUACUGACGCUGAGGUGCGAAAGUGUGGGGAGCAAACAGG